AACGCACAUUGCACCUCUUGGUAAUCCUUGAGGUAUACUUGUUCGAGCGCCGUUUAAAUUCUAAGGCUUUGCCUUGUGUUGAUGUUUUUAUCGCUUAAUCCGCGAUUCAUCAAAAUAAAUUGGCGUCUGUUUUUUUAGCCAGAAACGCAGUGAAAAUGCGAAGAAGGUUUAUUAACAAACAGCUGUUUUUCAUUUCCUAUCCGACAGCUUUGCUGUCAGAAAAGAAAAAUAAAAAACAUGGCCUCGAAUCAAGUAGGGAUACCCGCUGAACUUAA
This 275-nucleotide unclassified non-coding RNA is filed under the name uncultured fungus. Its description in RNAcentral is "sequence contains ITS2". Lineage: Eukaryota; Fungi. The record is from RNAcentral.